CCUACGGGUGGCAGCAGUAGGGAAUCUUCCGCAAUGGACGAAAGUCUGAUGGAGCAACGCCGCGUGGGUGAAGAAGGUCUUCGGAUCGUAAAACCCUGUUGUUAGAGAAGAAAGUGCGUGAGAGUAACUGUUCACGUUUCGACGGUAUCUAACCAGACAGCCACGGCUAACUACGUUCCAGCAGCCGCGGUAAUACUUAGGUGGCAAGCGUUAUCCGGAUUUUUUGGGCGUAAAGGGAACGAAGGCGGUCUUUUAAGUCUGAUGUGAAAGCCUUCGGCUUAACCGGAGGAGUGCGUUGGAAACUGGGAGACUGGAGUGCAGAAGAGGAGAGUGGAAUUCCAUGUGUAGCGGUGAAAUGCGUAGAUAUAUGGAAGAACACCAGUGGCGAAAGCGGCUCUCUGGUCUGUAACUGACGCUGAGGUUCGAAAGCGUGGGUAGCAAACAGGAUUAGAUACCCUUGUAGUC
Molecule: ribosomal RNA, 465 nt
Filed under: uncultured bacterium
Lineage: Bacteria
Description: partial 16S ribosomal RNA
Rfam family: Bacterial small subunit ribosomal RNA
Source: RNAcentral